This 763-nucleotide ribosomal RNA is filed under the name uncultured organism. RNAcentral's name for it is "bacterial SSU rRNA". It matches the Rfam family "Bacterial small subunit ribosomal RNA", at positions 94 to 836 of the family's 1533-position model. The record is from RNAcentral.
AGUGGCGAAAGGGCGAGGAAUACAUGGAUAACGUGCCUUUGGCAUGGGGACAGCUGAGGGAAACUUCAGGUAAUACCCAAUGAGACCACAGUGCUUUCGGGCACAGGGGUCAAAGAUGGGGCUCCUUCGGGACCUAUCGGCCAUAGAGCGGUCCAUGUCCUAUCAGCUUGUUGGUGAGGUAAUGGCUCACCAAGGCGACGACGGGUACCGGGACUGAGAGGUUGACCCGGCGCAUCGGGACUGAGACACUGCCCGGACUCCUACGGGAGGCUGCAGUAACGAAUAUUGGUCAAUGGGCGAAAGCCUGAACCAGCGACGCCGCGUGUGGGAGGAAGCCCUUCGGGGUGUAAACCACUGUCAGGGAUUACCAAGCAAUGGAGGCUAAUACCCUCCUGCGUUGAGGCGUCCCAGAGGAAGUCACGGCUAACUUCGUGCCAGCAGCCGCGGUAAUACGAAGGUGGCGAGCGUUGUUCGGAAUCACUGGGCUUAAAGAGCACGUAGGCGGACUGCCAAGCGUCUUGUGAAAUCCCCCGGCUCAACCGGGGAAUUGCUGGGCGAACUGGUAGUCUUGAGGCAAGUAGGGGCAGAUGGAACUCUUGGUGGAGCGGUGGAAUGCGUGGAUAUCAAGAGGAACGCCAGAGGCGAAGGCGAUCUGCUGGGCUUGACCUGACGCUGAGGUGCGAAAGCCAGGGGAGCAAACGGGAUUAGAUACCCCGGUAGUCCUGGCCAUAAACGAUGUCCACUAGAUCGGUGAACUUCUGAC